AUGGCGCUGGUUCCACACGGCAGCGGAGGCAGCGCGAGCAGAUCGGUGGCUAUGGGGAUGCCGGUGCUCGCGCCGGACGGCUACACCGUGUGGGCGAUCAAGGCGCAGGCGAUCCUUGAUGCUCACACGCUGUGGGAGGCGGUGGCGCCGGCGGGCGACGCGGCGGUGAACGCCAAGAAGUGCAAGAUGGCGCGGGCGCUUCUCCUGUCGGGGCCGCCGGAGGAUGUGCUGCUCUCGGUGGCGACGAAAGCCACCGCCAGAGAGGUAUGGGACUCUCUGAAGGUGCGCUUCAUCGGCGCCGAGCGGGUGCGCGCGGCGAGGAGGGCGACGCUGCGCGGCGAGCUGGAUCGGCUCAAGAUGGACGACGGCGAGUCCCUGGACGCAUACGCCGGAUGGCUUCCGGGCAUGGCGGCGCGGUUCGCGGGCCUGGGGGCGACGCUCGGCGAGACGGAGCUGGUGAAGAAGCUCCUGGACACCGUGCCGGACCGUCUCUUCCCCGCCGUCACCGGCAUCGAACAGUUCUGCACUCUGUAG
This 534-nucleotide ribosomal RNA is filed under the name Triticum aestivum (bread wheat). RNAcentral's name for it is "partial small subunit ribosomal RNA". The record is from RNAcentral. Lineage: Eukaryota; Viridiplantae; Streptophyta; Magnoliopsida; Poales; Poaceae.